GGAUAAACAAAUAAAACCUGAGGCUCAAGAAUGGGUUCUACACGAGACUGAUUCUGAGAACCAAGUGAACCUUGCAAUCUUCCAGAAACUUCAGAUUUUCGAGUAAUAUAUUGCCUCUGAAGUGCCGGAAUAUCACAAUUAGGAUGAAGUCCAACAACUACCAUGCUCUCAAAAAGCCUUGAGGGCUCCUUUAAAGACCUAUGAUCCAAGUAC
Molecule: unclassified non-coding RNA, 213 nt
Filed under: Hevea brasiliensis (rubber tree)
Lineage: Eukaryota; Viridiplantae; Streptophyta; Magnoliopsida; Malpighiales; Euphorbiaceae
Source: RNAcentral